This 976-nucleotide long non-coding RNA is filed under the name Vigna radiata. RNAcentral describes it as "long non-coding RNA (VRAD_LNC014089)". The record is from RNAcentral. Lineage: Eukaryota; Viridiplantae; Streptophyta; Magnoliopsida; Fabales; Fabaceae.
UUGCUGCCACACUCAUUUUAUUUUUUUUAGUUAACGUUAUUUAAUGAGAAAGGAACUAGGAAGGAGUCUAGUGAUGUGACAAUGCUCUUUAUUUUAUUUCUUUUGUAAUUUCUUUUAGUUGCAGCAGCAUGUUUAAAGAGGAGCUGGACGUGAUUUACUUUUCUUGGAUAAAGGAAAGGGUCACGGCCUAGGGUCUUCUUAGACUAUUUUGCAAAUUUAAUUUCUUUAGAAGAUGCAUAUGUAGUCUAGGUAAAAGAAAUUUAUGCUUGUUUAUUUAUUUUGUUUUUAAAUAUUUUGACAUUGUAUUUUGAGUUGUUUUUCAUCUUUCUAAUUUAGUGGUGCAUUUUAAUAGUUUUGAUUGUGUUUAGAUAUUUGUUGCUCUAGUAUUGGGUUUAGCAUUUUCACUCUCUGGACUCGAUUUUAAAAAAAUAACUGCAACCACACCAGAGGUCCAAAUUCUACGUUUUAUAUAUCACUUGAAAGAUAAUUGAGUCUACUUUCCAGGAAAAAAAAAAACUUCAUCUCAUUUAGAGCCCUGUAGAAAAAUUUAUGAGUAAAACAUUGAGCAAACGUCAAAGUUGUCCAGUUCCAACGUGAAUUUUCGUAAUUACUGUAGCAAUUUCGUUUUUAUUGUUUUAAUUUCAUUUUCAUGCAUGGUGAAACCUUUUCAAACCCCCCCCCCCACACUGUGUUAGACCCGAUUCUGAACCGUAGUUGGUCCUUGUGAGACGACAUAGGAGUCAUUCCUAGCUAUACUGCAUUUCUUAUUAUGCAAUCAAAUUUGAUUGGGCGGCGACACCCAUCAAAUUUUGGCGCCAUUGCCGGGGACCAACGGUUCAGUUUUAGGUCUUUUGUUGUGUUAGUGUGUGUUGUGUUUUGUCUUGUGUUGUGAGUGUGAUGUUCCGUUUUGUGUGUUCGUCAUUGUGUGUUGCAUUUAGGUAGCUUUAGUUGCAUAUUUUCAUUGCAUUCUUCUUUU